AUUGAACGCUGGCGGCAGGCCUAACACAUGCAAGUCGAGCGGAUGAAGGGAGCUUGCUCCUGGAUUCAGCGGCGGACGGGUGAGUAAUGCCUAGGAAUCUGCCUGGUAGUGGGGGAUAACGUCCGGAAACGGGCGCUAAUACCGCAUACGUCCUGAGGGAGAAAGUGGGGGAUCUUCGGACCUCACGCUAUCAGAUGAGCCUAGGUCGGAUUAGCUAGUUGGUGGGGUAAAGGCCUACCAAGGCGACGAUCCGUAACUGGUCUGAGAGGAUGAUCAGUCACACUGGAACUGAGACACGGUCCAGAAUCCUACGGGAGGCAGCAGUGGGGAAUAUUGGACAAUGGGCGAAAGCCUGAUCCAGCCAUGCCGCGUGUGUGAAGAAGGUCUUCGGAUUGUAAAGCACUUUAAGUUGGGAGAAGGGCAGUAAGUUCAUACCUUGCUGUUUUGACGUUACCAACAGAAUAAGCACCGGCUAACUUCGUG
Molecule: ribosomal RNA, 483 nt
Filed under: uncultured bacterium
Lineage: Bacteria
Description: partial 16S ribosomal RNA
Rfam family: Bacterial small subunit ribosomal RNA
Source: RNAcentral